GGGCGCGGGGCAGCCCGUGACAUCCCCCUGCAUUCCCUGCAGUUCUCCCAGUGCCCGCCUGACUACCACCACAUCCACACCGAGAUCUCCCGGGAAGGAGCCCGCGUCCUGGCGCUGGGGUACAAGGAGCUGGGACACCUCACUCACCAGCAGGCCCGGGAGGUCAAGCGGGAGGCCCUGGAGUGCAGCCUCAAGUUCGUCGGCUUCAUUGUGGUCUCCUGCCCGCUCAAGGCUGACUCCAAGGCCGUGAUCCGGGAGAUCCAGAAUGCGUCCCACCGGGUGGUCAUGAUCACGGGAGACAACCCGCUCACUGCAUGCCACGUGGCCCAGGAGCUGCACUUCAUUGAAAAGGCCCACACGCUGAUCCUGCAGCCUCCUUCUGAGAAAGGUGAGGCCCUAGCCUGGCCCACAGUGGGGAAGGGGGACCCUGAGUCCAAGAACAGCUCCCAUCGCAACAGCCCACCUGUGUACCAGGCCUCAGCAGCACAGUGUCUUCAAAUGCCUGGCACCACUAAUCACAGCCCUGGCCCACUGGGCACCUCGGACAGCAUGUGAGCGUUCACUGGGUCACAGGUCCCAGGAUGUGCGGCAUGUAGGUGUUUAUUUACCAUAAUGAGGCGAUAGUCUGACUGCCAGCUCGGGUUUCCUGUGCACUCAUGGGCAGAUACUGCUCCUACCACGCUUACUCCCCAUCCUCAGUGUCAUCCUCAUUUCAUACCCUCUUUGGCCCGGCAAGCUGCCCAUGUACCGAGUGCUCCCUUCCCGAGCACAGGGACUGCUGGCAUCCUCAGCCACAGUUGAUGGCACAGUUUGCCCAGUGCUCAGCCUGACCAGACCCCAGGCGGAGCGCUCCGUGCGUGUUACUGCGUUGGUCCCUCCACCCCAUCCUGCACCACACGGAGUGGCUUGCCUUCCCCACACCACGGAGGAGGAAGCUGG
This 939-nucleotide small RNA is filed under the name Pan troglodytes (chimpanzee). RNAcentral's name for it is "retained intron". The record is from RNAcentral. Lineage: Eukaryota; Metazoa; Chordata; Mammalia; Primates; Hominidae.